Molecule: long non-coding RNA, 486 nt
Organism: Hyla sarda
Lineage: Eukaryota; Metazoa; Chordata; Amphibia; Anura; Hylidae
Exons: 3
Source: RefSeq, a predicted model, not a curated record
GUCAUAUUGAACAUGCUGUCCUGCCUGUAGGUUCACUCAGAUGGGCUGAGAUAGCUGUAAACACAUACGUAGGCUUUGUUCACAUGUUGAAAUUCCUGAGCAGAACCUGACGAAAAAAUUCUGCUUGAAAAAUUUCUGGGUCAAUGACCUUUACGUCUGUAUGAUCCCUGAGCUGUGCUGAGAAGAGCCAAGAUGAAGCCGGGGCCUCCAGGAAAUACACAGACGGCUGUGAAGCUGCACUCUUCUUGGAGCGCUAAAUGAAUGUCAUUUCUCAGAAAGCCUUGUUCCCAUGCCUGCCAAGAGCCACAGCCAUAUUAUCAGCUACAAGAGUCACAUGAGGUCACUACACCACAGGAAGGAGAGCCGGACGACAGGACAAGGCUGGACAUACAUCCAUAUCAUAAGGAUAAUAGCUUCCUGCUACUUGUGUAAUUGAAAGCACAAAAUACAUUAAGAUCAGAUGUUGAACUGAAAUACAAAAAUGAG